UGGGGAAUAUUGCACAAUGGGCGAAAGCCUGAUGCAGCAACGCCGCGUGAGUGAUGAAGGCCUUCGGGUUGUAAAGCUCUGUCUUUUGGGACGAUAAUGACGGUACCAAAGGAGGAAGCCACGGCUAACUACGUGCCAGCAGCCGCGGUAAUACGUAGGUGGCAAGCGUUGUCCGGAUUUACUGGGCGUAAAGGAUGCGUAGGCGGAUUUUUAAGUGAGAUGUGAAAUACCCGGGCUUAACUUGGGUGCUGCAUUUCAAACUGGGAAUCUAGAGUGCGGGAGAGGAGAAUGGAAUUCCUAGUGUAGCGGUGAAAUGCGUAGAGAUUAGGAAGAACACCAGUGGCGAAGGCGAUUCUCUGGACCGUAACUGACGCUGAGGCAUGAAAGCGUGGGUAGCAAACAGGAUUAGAUACCCUGGUAAUCCACGCCGUAAACGAUGAGUACUAGGUGUAGGAGGUAUCGACCCCUUCUGUGCCGCAGUUAACACAAUAAGUACUCCGCCUGGGAAGUACGAUCGCAAGAUUAAAACUCAAAGGAAUUGACGGGGUC
Molecule: ribosomal RNA, 549 nt
Filed under: uncultured bacterium
Lineage: Bacteria
Description: partial 16S ribosomal RNA
Rfam family: Bacterial small subunit ribosomal RNA
Source: RNAcentral